Molecule: unclassified non-coding RNA, 572 nt
Filed under: Hevea brasiliensis (rubber tree)
Lineage: Eukaryota; Viridiplantae; Streptophyta; Magnoliopsida; Malpighiales; Euphorbiaceae
Source: RNAcentral
GAGCUCUCUCCCUCCAUUUUUGUUUUCCCUAAAGCUUGAUUUUCUAAGCUUUCUCCUCAUCAAAACCCAUAGACCCCUUCAUUAAAAAGUUAGCCCACUCCAUAAGGAAGCCAUUGAUAGUGAAAAGAAGAAGAAAAGUUGAAGUUUAACAAGUUACCCAAGAGGUUAGUGCCUAAUCUUCCUUUCUUCCUUUAUUAAUCCUUGAGUUAAGGUUAAAAUGAAGUGAAAUUUGUAAGAAACUAAAAGAAAUAGGUGAGUUAUGAGGGGAGUGAAUUUUUGAUACCCAUGGUGAGUGAUGGUUUUUGAUGACUAUGAUGUAUAUAAAGUGAUUUAAUGAUGUUGGUUGAUGCAUUUAUAAGUAUUAGAAGUUAAUUUACAUUGAGAUUUUAUGAGGUUGAAAUUGUGAGUUAGGGUUUGGCCUAACUUUGGUAUUUUUGUAUUAUACCAUGCAAUUGGGAUUGUUGAGAUGUGUUGAUGAUAUUUAGAAGUGCCUUGAAUGUCAAAUUGAAGCAAGGAAGUUGGAGGAGAAAUGAAUUAUUGGAAGUGCUAUUUUCUGCAGGUUGUGUUUGUUG